This 203-nucleotide long non-coding RNA is filed under the name Elaeis guineensis (African oil palm). Its description in RNAcentral is "long non-coding RNA (EGUI_LNC045440)". The record is from RNAcentral. Lineage: Eukaryota; Viridiplantae; Streptophyta; Magnoliopsida; Arecales; Arecaceae.
UGGUUGGCGGUUCUCCCCUCCGAUGUUAUCAUUGUCACCAUUUUUGAAAACCAUCACCAUGUUAAGCCUUGCAGCCUAAUAAAUCUCAAAAUGCCUGAAGGCCACAUCACCAUUCCCAUGUGUAUUCUCUUUUAAAUCUUCAUAGCUGAUAAGUUCCAAAAGAUCCAACGGCCACAUCUGCUCAGCACCCUGGUGGUAUUCCA